This 253-nucleotide ribosomal RNA is filed under the name uncultured prokaryote. RNAcentral describes it as "partial 16S ribosomal RNA". It matches the Rfam family "Bacterial small subunit ribosomal RNA", at positions 524 to 776 of the family's 1533-position model. The record is from RNAcentral.
UACGAAGGGGGCUAGCGUUGUUCGGAAUUACUGGGCGUAAAGCGCACGUAGGUGGUUUGCUAAGUCAGCUGUGAAAUCCCCGGGCUCAACCUGGGCACUGCAGUUGAAACUGGUAAGCUAGAGUAGGGUAGAGGGGUGUGGAAUUCCAGGUGUAGCGGUGAAAUGCGUAGAUAUCUGGAGGAACAUCAGUGGCGAAGGCGACACCCUGGACUCAUACUGACACUGAGGUGCGAAAGCGUGGGGAGCAAACAGG